Molecule: non-coding RNA, 102 nt
Organism: Acanthosepion pharaonis
Lineage: Eukaryota; Metazoa; Mollusca; Cephalopoda; Sepiida; Sepiidae
Source: the annotation of a GenBank genome assembly
ACUAACGUUGAAACACCGUGUCUUGUACGAUCACCAAACUUAAGCAACGUCGAGAUUGGUCAGUACUUAGCUGAGUGACCGCUCGGGAAUCCCAGGUGCUGA